RNAcentral lists this ribosomal RNA (402 nucleotides) under Fusobacteriota bacterium. RNAcentral describes it as "Fusobacteria bacterium partial 16S ribosomal RNA". It matches the Rfam family "Bacterial small subunit ribosomal RNA", at positions 355 to 776 of the family's 1533-position model. Lineage: Bacteria; Fusobacteriati; Fusobacteriota. The record is from RNAcentral.
UGGGGAAUUUUGCACAAUGGGGGAAACCCUGAUGCAGCGACGCCGCGUGAUUUAGAAGGCCUUCGGGUUGUAAAAAUCUUUUCUAUGGGAAGAAAAUGACAGUACCAUAGGAAUAAGGACCGGCUAAUUACGUGCCAGCAGCCGCGGUAAUACGUAAGGUCCGAGCGUUGUCCGGAAUCAUUGGGCGUAAAGGGUACGUAGGCGGGUAAGCAAGUUAGAAGUGAAAUCCUAUAGCUCAACUAUAGUAAGCUUUUAAAACUGCUCAUCUUGAGGUAUGGAAGGGAAAGUGGAAUUCCUAGUGUAGCGGUGAACUGCACAGAUAUUAGAAGGAAUACCGGUGGCGAAGGCGACUUUGUGACCAUAACCUGACGCUAAGGUACGAAAGCGUGGGUAGCAAACAGG